Unclassified non-coding RNA from Myotis lucifugus (little brown bat), 322 nucleotides. Its record names the gene 7SK. It matches the Rfam family "7SK RNA". From Rfam's summary of the family: 7SK was discovered as an abundant small nuclear RNA in the mid-70s but a possible function has only recently been suggested. Two independent studies have found that 7SK RNA binds the CDK9/cyclin T complex (known as elongation factor P-TEFb). P-TEFb activates transcription by phosphorylating the C-terminal domain of RNA polymerase II. Lineage: Eukaryota; Metazoa; Chordata; Mammalia; Chiroptera; Vespertilionidae. The record is from Ensembl.
GAAUUACGUUUAAACUGGCUGCGACAUCUGUCACCCCAUUGAUCGCCAGGGUUGAUUCGGCUGAUCUGGCUGGCUAGGCGGGUGUCCCCCUCCUCCCUCACCGAUCCAUGUGCGUCCCUCCCGAAGCUGCGCGCUCGGUCGAAGAGGACGACCUUCCCCCCCCCGAGGAGGACCGGUCUUCGGUCAAGGGUAUACGAGUAGCUGCGCUCCCCUGCUAGAACCUCCAAACAAGCUCUCAAAAUGAAAUGUACGAAUUACGUUUAAACCAUAACGCAAGGCUUCUGAAUUGGCCCUAAAAUCAUAGGUCAACUUGUCAAACUUG